Podarcis muralis (Common wall lizard) is the source of this 99-nucleotide vault RNA. Its record names the gene Vault. It matches the Rfam family "Vault RNA". From Rfam's summary of the family: This family of RNAs are found as part of the enigmatic vault ribonucleoprotein complex. The complex consists of a major vault protein (MVP), two minor vault proteins (VPARP and TEP1), and several small untranslated RNA molecules. NCBI's taxonomy places the organism in Eukaryota, Metazoa, Chordata, Lepidosauria, Squamata, Lacertidae. The record is from Ensembl.
GAGCCAGCUCAGCCCACCGGUUCCAUCGACCAACACGUAGCUUGGAUCCUGCAAUUGCCCAUAGCAGUUUGAAACCCGUGGGUGCUGCCUGGCUUUUUU